UUUUUUUUUUUUGUCACAAAAACAAGUCUCAUGCACUAUAAGAGAAUGCGCUUUCAUCGACGGACACAUCUGUUGAAAAUCUCUCUGUGAAAGUGGUAGUCGUUGGAAAACAUGGUGUGGGUAAACAGAACUGAGUUCGUGUUGAUCCAAGCCAACAAUGGGUAGCAACAACCGAGUUCCUACAGGCCAGAAGUCGGUAAUUACCACUAUUAUUUACCGUCACUAAUAGUUGGUUUUCUAGUAGUGAUGUCAUUUUCUACCAAGAAAAUUUACCCGAGAUUUUGUUUUGCUUGAGGGAAAAGGCUAACCUGAUACACAGCAUAGGCAAUGAAGAAACCUAACGAGAGGAU
RNAcentral lists this long non-coding RNA (350 nucleotides) under Helianthus annuus (common sunflower). Its description in RNAcentral is "sRNA HanXRQr2_Chr15g0697391". Lineage: Eukaryota; Viridiplantae; Streptophyta; Magnoliopsida; Asterales; Asteraceae. The record is from RNAcentral.